Molecule: unclassified non-coding RNA, 897 nt
Filed under: Hevea brasiliensis (rubber tree)
Lineage: Eukaryota; Viridiplantae; Streptophyta; Magnoliopsida; Malpighiales; Euphorbiaceae
Source: RNAcentral
AAUUAUUCUCCCUCACGGACGAAACCCUAGAAUCGCACCGCCUUCACCUCCAUCUCUCGAUCCAAUCGACGGGAUCUCCGGCGUCGCUGAGAUCAGCCGUCUCACGCGCGUCAGGAUGGUGUCCGCCGAUCGGGAAAUGGUGGUCUACUGCUUCGAUACCCUUCUCGCCCACUACAACAACGAGAAUCCUCCUCCCGCCGAUUUCGAGGAUGGAGAUCAUCCGUUGUUUGUUACUUGGAAGAAAGUAAUCAAUGGUGGGGAGCCUCGUCUACGCGGUUGCAUUGGAACUUUAGAGGCUCGAGGCCUGAUCACUGGUUUUCGGGAUUAUGCAUUAACCAGUGCUCUAAAGGAUCGUCGUUUCUCCCCAAUUCAGGCCAAGGAAUUGCAACAAUUGGAAUGUACCGUUUCUAUACUAACUGAUUAUGAGUCCGCUCAGAACUACCUUGAUUGGGAGGUGGGACAACAUGGACUGAUCAUUGAAUUCACUGAUCCUGACUACAAUACAAGGCGCAGUGCAACAUAUUUGCCAGAGGUGGCUGCCCAGGAAGGGUGGACUAAGCUGGAGGCCAUUGACUCGCUGAUGAGGAAGGCAGGCUACAAUGGUGCCAUCACAGAGUCCCUCCGCAAGCGGCUCCACAUUACCCGCUACCAGAGCAGCCUCUACACAAUGCACUACACUGAAUACGUCGCCUAUAUCAAGGCGACAAGAGAGGCAGCCCCUGUUAUUGUUGGGGCCAAGCCUUAACCAUUGAUUUACCAUCUUGCUACAUUGGUAUGUUGUGAAAAACUUACCUGUAGUUUACCAUCGUUGUUCUGUAAACUGUACUUGAUGGAGGGAUUACGGGGAAGUUUAUGGGGGAAACUGUGGCGACUGUAUCUAUUUAUACUGUGUUGUGG